AGAGUUUGAUCAUGGCUCAGAAUGAACGCUGGCGGCACGCUUAACACAUGCAAGUCGAACGGGAUCUUCGGAUCUAGUGGCAGACGGGUGAGUAACGCGUGGGAACCUGCCCAGUAGUAGAGAAUAACUUGAGGAAACUUAAGCUAAUACUUUAUACACCCUUCGGGGAAAAGCUUUAUGCGCUAUUGGAUGGGCCCGCGUUAGAUUAGUUUGUUGGUGAGGUAAUGGCUCACCAAGACUACGAUCUAUAGCUGGUCUGAGAGGAUGAUCAGCCACACUGGGACUGAGACACGGCCCAGACUCCUACGGGAGGCAGCAGUGGGGAAUAUUGGACAAUGGGGGCAACCCUGAUCCAGCGAUGCCGCGUGAGUGAUGAAGGCCUUCGGGUUGUAAAACUCUUUCGUCAGGGAAGAUAAUGACGGUACCUGAAGAAGAAGAUCCGGCUAACUCCGUGCCAGCAGCCGCGGUAAUACGGAGGGAUCUAGCGUUAUUCGGAAUUACUGGGCGUAAAGCGAGCGUAGGCGGAUUUGUAAGUUGGAGGUGAAAUCCCAGAGCUUAACUCUGGAACUGCCUUCAAAACUACAUUUCUUGAGUUUGGUAGAGGAGAGUGGAAUUCCUAGUGUAGAGGUGAAAUUCGUAGAUAUUAGGAGGAACACCAGUGGCGAAGGCGACUCUCUGGGCCAAUACUGACGCUGAGGUUCGAAAGCAUGGGUAGCGAACAGGAUUAGAUACCCUGGUAGUCCAUGCAGUAAACGAUGAGUGCUAGAUGUUGGGAAUUUAAAUUUCCAGUAUCGCAGUUAACGCGUUAAGCACUCCGCCUGGGAAGUACGGCCGCAAGGCUAAAACUCAAAUGAAUUGACGGGGACCCGCACAAGCGGUGGAUCAUGUG
This 889-nucleotide ribosomal RNA is filed under the name uncultured bacterium. RNAcentral describes it as "bacterial SSU rRNA". It matches the Rfam family "Bacterial small subunit ribosomal RNA", at positions 8 to 943 of the family's 1533-position model. The record is from RNAcentral.